Molecule: ribosomal RNA, 484 nt
Filed under: uncultured bacterium
Lineage: Bacteria
Description: partial 16S ribosomal RNA
Rfam family: Bacterial small subunit ribosomal RNA
Source: RNAcentral
AUUGAACGCUGGCGGCAUGCCUUACACAUGCAAGUCGAACGGCAGCACGGACUUCGGUCUGGUUGCGAGUGGCGAACGGGUGAGUAAUGUAUCGGAACGUACCUUUCAGUGGUGGAUAACGUAGCGAAAGUUACGCUAAUACCGCAUAUUCUGUUAGCAGGAAAGCAGGGGAUCAGAAGACCUUGCGCUGAUGGAGCGGCCGAUAUCAGAUUAGCUAGUUGGUGGGGUAAAGGCCUACCAAGGCGACGAUCUGUAGCGGGUCUGAGAGGAUGAUCCGCCACACUGGAACUGAGACACGGUCCAGACUCCUACGGGAGGCAGCAGUGGGGAAUUUUGGACAAUGGGGGCAAGCCUGAUCCAGCCAUGCCGCGUGAGUGAAGAAGGCCUUCGGGUUGUAAAGCUCUUUCGGCCGGGAAGAAAUCGCAUAGGCUAAUACCCUGUGUGGAUGACGGUACCGGAAUAAGAAGCACCGGCUAACUACGUG